GCCCAUGACGAUAAACCACUUACGACGGUCUUAUGACACACACCCGAACAUGGAUUGAGCACGAGUGUUACGAUAGUUUCUGGGGCGCCGCACAACAUUCCAGCCGCGUGCGUCCUGCGUCCGAGGCGU
Trypanosoma brucei brucei TREU927 is the source of this 129-nucleotide small nucleolar RNA. The record is from RefSeq and is a predicted model, not a curated record. NCBI's taxonomy places the organism in Eukaryota, Euglenozoa, Kinetoplastea, Trypanosomatida, Trypanosomatidae.